ACUUUGAAUGUAAUAUGCUUUAAAUAUAUAAACUUUGUUCAUUUUUGUCUUAUUUCCUAAUUUUUUAACUUUUAAAAUAUGUUACAGGAAGUUUAUCAUGAAAAAGAUAUCAAGGCAUUUUUUGAUAAAGCAAAACAUGAGAUCAGUACUAUAAAAAUAGUUGGACCAGAAGAAGAUCUAAGUCAAGCUAAAGCCAGAAACAUGGGAAUGGAUUUUUGCCGUCAGGAUGAAAAGUGUGAUUAUUAUUUUAGUCUGGAUGCAGAUGUUGUUUUGACAAACCCAAGAACUUUAAAACUUUUGAUUGAACAAAACAGAAAGAUCAUUGCUCCUCUUGUAACUCGUCAUGGAAAGUUGUGGUCCAACUUCUGGGGAGCACUGAGUCCUGAUGGAUAUUACGCUAGAUCUGAAGAUUAUGUGGAUAUUGUUCAAGGGAAGAGAGUGUAAGUCAUGUAAUUUAAUCUUUUAAUGUAAAACACCAUAAUCCAAGGAUAUAGUUUUAUUUGACAUGUGUCUCUUUCCUAUGUAUAUUUGAAGGCAG
This 538-nucleotide long non-coding RNA is filed under the name Cavia porcellus (domestic guinea pig). RNAcentral's name for it is "lncRNA (ENSCPOG00000032590.1)". Lineage: Eukaryota; Metazoa; Chordata; Mammalia; Rodentia; Caviidae. The record is from RNAcentral.